CCGCAGUAGGAGCCCCUAUGUAGGCCCUGCAGGAGGCCUGGGGUUCAGGAAAGGGCCCGCUGACCAUCUGGUGCAGGGAAAGGAGUCCAGCUCUGGCCUCUGCCCCUCAGCUCCACCUCCUGCAUUCCUAGGAGUUUUCCAGAGGAUCUGAUGGGAGCGCAGAACCGGUCCCAACAGCUACCUCCACCCUUCAUGAACGGGGGCUGAAAAAUGUGUCUAUUGAGCAGCUCGCGGUGGUCUGCUCUGAUAAGGAUUUGUGUCAGGCUACUGGCUGCUCAACAGCUGAGAAGAGCAAGCCUCCAGGCCUCUGCACGCAUGCCUUCUGCCCGGUGAGCCUCACACUGUCGUCCUUCUAAAAGACACUUCAAAAAGAGGAAAAAUCAUGCCUUCCAUACAUACAUUAAAAAAAGAAUAUGUGUUAAA
Molecule: small RNA, 423 nt
Filed under: Pongo abelii (Sumatran orangutan)
Lineage: Eukaryota; Metazoa; Chordata; Mammalia; Primates; Hominidae
Description: sense overlapping
Source: RNAcentral